UUCGCAAUGCCCGAAAGGGUGACGAAGCGACGCCGCGUGGGUGAGGAAGGCCUUCGGGUUGUAAAGCCCUGUCAGGAGUUAAGAAAUGUAAGUGCGAUAAUAUCGCAUUUAUUUGACGAAGGCUCCAAAGGAAGCCACGGCUAACUCUGUGCCAGCAGCCGCGGUAAUACAGAGGUGGCAAGCGUUGUUCGGAAUUAUUGGGCGUAAAGAGCACGUAGGUGGGUUUGUAAGUCAGAUGUGAAAGCCUUCUGUUCAACGGAAGAAUUGCAUCUGAAACUGCGAGUCUUGAGUGUAGGAGGGGAGAAUGGAACUUCUGGUGGAGCGGUGAAAUGCGUAGAUAUCAGAAGGAACGCCGGCGGCGAAAGCGAUUCUCUGGCCUAUUACUGACACUCAGUGUGCGAAAGCUAGGGGAGCAAACGGGAUUAGAUACCCCGGUAGUCCUAGCCGUAAACGAUGGGCACUAAGUAGAGGGGUUUU
Molecule: ribosomal RNA, 477 nt
Filed under: Candidatus Scalindua brodae
Lineage: Bacteria; Pseudomonadati; Planctomycetota; Candidatus Brocadiia; Candidatus Brocadiales; Candidatus Scalinduaceae
Description: bacterial SSU rRNA
Rfam family: Bacterial small subunit ribosomal RNA
Source: RNAcentral